RNAcentral lists this non-coding RNA (21 nucleotides) under Arabidopsis thaliana (thale cress). Lineage: Eukaryota; Viridiplantae; Streptophyta; Magnoliopsida; Brassicales; Brassicaceae. The record is from RNAcentral.
UGCAGAUCAUUCAUAGUUCUC